Molecule: ribosomal RNA, 390 nt
Filed under: Macaca fascicularis (crab-eating macaque)
Lineage: Eukaryota; Metazoa; Chordata; Mammalia; Primates; Cercopithecidae
Description: partial 12S ribosomal RNA
Rfam family: Bacterial small subunit ribosomal RNA
Source: RNAcentral
GCUUGGCCCUAAACCUCAGUAGUUAGAUAACAAAACUACUCGCCAGAAUACUACAAGCAACAGCUUAAAACUCAAAGGACUUGACGGUGCUUUACAUCCCCCUAGAGGAGCCUGUUCCAUAAUCGAUAAACCCCGAUCCACCCCACCCUCUCUUGCUCAGCCUAUAUACCGCCAUCUUCAGCAAACCCUAAUGAAGGCUACAAAGUGAGCGCAAACGCCACUGCCGCGAAUACGUUAGGUCAAGGUGUAGCCCAUGAGACGGUAAAAAAUGGGCUACAUUUUCUAUUUCAGAAAACCCCCACGAAAACCCUUAUGAAACUUAAGGGUCCAAGGAGGAUUUAGCAGUAAAUUAAGAAUAGAGUGCUUAAUUGAACCAGGCCAUAAAGCGCG